GAUGAACGCUGGCGGCGUGCUUAACACAUGCAAGUCGAGCGAAGCAAUUUAAAUGAGACUUCGGUGGAUUUUAAAUUGACUGAGCGGCGGACGGGUGAGUAACGCGUGGAUAACCUGCCUCACACAGGGGGAUAACAGUUAGAAAUGACUGCUAAUACCGCAUAAGCGCACGGCAUCGCAUGAUGCAGUGUGAAAAACUCCGGUGGUGUGAGAUGGAUCCGCGUCUGAUUAGGUAGUUGGUGAGGUAACGGCCCACCAAGCCGACGAUCAGUAGCCGACCUGAGAGGGUGACCGGCCACAUUGGGACUGAGACACGGCCCCAAAGUCCUACGGGAGCAGCAGUGGGGAAUAUGCACAAUGGGGGAAACCCUGAUGCAGCGACGCCGCGUGAGUGAUGAAGUAUUCGGUAUGUAAAACUCUAUCAGCAGGGAAGAUAAUGACGGUACCUGACUAAGAAGCACCGGCUAAA
Molecule: ribosomal RNA, 469 nt
Filed under: uncultured bacterium
Lineage: Bacteria
Description: bacterial SSU rRNA
Rfam family: Bacterial small subunit ribosomal RNA
Source: RNAcentral